GUGUCAGCAGCCGCGGUAAAACGUAGGUGGCAAGCGUUAUCCGGAUUCACUGGGCGUAAAGCGCACGCAGGCGGAUGGGUAGGUAGGGCAUGAAAGCGCCUGGCUUAACUGGGCGAGGCUGUCCUAUACCACCCGACUCGAGGACAGGAGAGGGACGUGGAACUGCCGGUGUAGUGGUGAAAUGCGUAGAGAUCGGCAAGAACACCAGUGGCGAAGGCGGCGUCCUGGCCUGUUCCUGACGCUCAGGUGCGACAGCUAGGGGAGCGAACGGGAUUAGAAACCCGCGUAGUCC
RNAcentral lists this ribosomal RNA (292 nucleotides) under uncultured bacterium. Its description in RNAcentral is "partial 16S ribosomal RNA". It matches the Rfam family "Bacterial small subunit ribosomal RNA", at positions 505 to 796 of the family's 1533-position model. The record is from RNAcentral.